UGGGGAAUAUUGCGCAAUGGGGGAAACCCUGACGCAGCGACGCCGCGUGCGGGAUGAAGGCCUUCGGGUUGUAAACCGCUUUUGAUUGGGAGCAAGCCUUUUGGGUGAGUGUACCUUUCGAAUAAGCGCCGGCUAACUACGUGCCAGCAGCCGCGUUAAUACGUAGGUGGCAAGCGUUGUCCGGAAUUAUUGGGCGUAAAGCGCGCGCAGGUGGUUUAGAAAGUCUGAUGUGAAAGCCCACGGCUCAACCGUGGAGGGUGAUUGGAAACUAAUAAACUUGAGUGCAGGAGAGAAAAGUGGAAUUCCUAGUGUAGCGGUGAAAUGCGUAGAGAUUAGGAGGAACACCAGUAGCGAAGGCGACUUUCUGGACGGCAACUGAAACUGAGACACGAAAGCGUGGGUAGCAAGCAGG
RNAcentral lists this ribosomal RNA (412 nucleotides) under Verrucomicrobiota bacterium. RNAcentral's name for it is "Verrucomicrobia bacterium partial 16S ribosomal RNA". It matches the Rfam family "Bacterial small subunit ribosomal RNA", at positions 355 to 776 of the family's 1533-position model. Lineage: Bacteria; Pseudomonadati; Verrucomicrobiota. The record is from RNAcentral.